RNAcentral lists this ribosomal RNA (497 nucleotides) under uncultured bacterium. RNAcentral's name for it is "partial 16S ribosomal RNA". It matches the Rfam family "Bacterial small subunit ribosomal RNA", at positions 28 to 507 of the family's 1533-position model. The record is from RNAcentral.
GAUGAACGCUGGCGGCGUGCCUAAUACAUGCAAGUCGAGCGAACGGACGAGAAGCUUGCUUCUCUGAUGUUAGCGGCGGACGGGUGAGUAACACGUGGAUAACCUACCUAUAAGACUGGGAUAACUUCGGGAAACCGGAGCUAAUACCGGAUAAUAUUUUGAACCGCAUGGUUCAAAAGUGAAAGACGGUCUUGCUGUCACUUAUAGAUGGAUCCGCGCUGCAUUAGCUAGUUGGUAAGGUAACGGCUUACCAAGGCAACGAUGCAUGGCCGACCUGAGAGGGUGAUCGGACACACUGGAACUGAGACACGGUCCAGACUCCUACGGGAGGCAGCAGUAGGGAAUCUUCCGCAAUGGGCGAAAGCCUGACGGAGCAACGCCGCGUGAGUGAUGAAGGUCUUCGGAUCGUAAAACUCUGUUAUUAGGGAAGAACAUAUGUGUAAGUAACUGUGCACAUCUUGACGGUACCUAAUCAGAAAGCCACGGCUAGCUACGUG